RNAcentral lists this ribosomal RNA (443 nucleotides) under uncultured bacterium. RNAcentral describes it as "partial 16S ribosomal RNA". It matches the Rfam family "Bacterial small subunit ribosomal RNA", at positions 338 to 795 of the family's 1533-position model. The record is from RNAcentral.
CCUACGGGCGGCAGCAGUGGGGAAUAUUGCACAAUGGGCGAAAGCCUGAUGCAGCAACGCCGCGUGAAGGAAGAAGGGUUUCGGCUCGUAAACUUCUAUCAACAGGGACGAAGGAAAUUACGGUACCUGAAUAAGAAGCUCCGGCUAACUACAUGACAGCAGCCGCGGUAAUACGUAGGGGGCAAGCGUUAUACGGAAUUACUGGGUGUAAAGGGUGAGUAGGCGGCAUGGUAAGCCAGAUGUGAAAGCCCUGGGCUUAACCCGAGGAUUGCAUUUGGAACUAUCAAGCUAGAGUACAUGAGAGGAAAGCGGAAUGCCUAGUGUAGCGGUGAAAUGCGUAGAGAUUAGGAAGAACACCAGGGGCGAAGGCGGCUUUUUGGACUGAAACUGACGCUGAGGUACGAAAGCGUGGGGAGCGAACAGGAUUAGAUACCCUAGUAGUC